This 229-nucleotide ribosomal RNA is filed under the name uncultured bacterium. Its description in RNAcentral is "partial 16S rRNA". It matches the Rfam family "Bacterial small subunit ribosomal RNA", at positions 505 to 733 of the family's 1533-position model. The record is from RNAcentral.
GUGUCAGCAGCCGCGGUAAUACGUAGGUGGCAAGCGUUGUUCGGAUUUACUGGGCGUAAAGGGUGUGUAGGCGGAUAUUUAAGUUAGAUGUGAAAUCCCCGGGCUUAACUUGGGGGCUGCAUUUCAAACUGGUUGUCUAGAGUGCAGGAGAGGAAAGUAGAAUUCCUGGUGUAGCGGUGAAAUGCGUAGAGAUCAGGAGGAAUACCGGUGGCGAAGGCGGCUUUCUGGA